This 2073-nucleotide long non-coding RNA is filed under the name Sus scrofa (pig). RNAcentral's name for it is "lncRNA (ENSSSCG00050006826.1)". Lineage: Eukaryota; Metazoa; Chordata; Mammalia; Artiodactyla; Suidae. The record is from RNAcentral.
GGUGAAGGGGAAAUUUUGCAGAUAAUAGAGUUGUAGCCUCUCUUACUUCUGGUGGCUGCUGCCCCCCUUGUGGCUGAAGUUGGUUGGGGGGGGGGCGCUUGCUGCAGGCUUCCUGAUGGGAGGGGCUGAUGCCUGCCCACUGGAUGGCCUCCAAGAACUGAAGACAGGUUUGACCCAGAUUCCUAUGGAGACUUUGCUUUGCCCUGGGACCCAGUGCACGUGAAAGUCUGUGUGUGCCUUUUAAGAAUGGGGUCUCCAUUUGUAGGAGAAAAUGUCCUGAUAAAAAUGUAAAAAGGAGAGACCCCGCCAUGAUGACGAAGCAAAACCUGGUCAACUACCUCUAACCACCCCUCCCCCACACAUCUGCUUCUGUAAACUUGCCAGUUCUCACUGGUCCACCAAGCAUGGACCCAGAAGAACUAGCCCAAAAAAGCCUUGUCGAAUGCCUCUUUGGGGCUCAGACUCCGGAGAGGAUCUCCUCUGAACCGGCUGGUGUAAUAAGCCUGAGUUCUCCAACUCCCCGAGUGCUCGCUUGGUUUCUCACCCAGUAAAAGAGCGGAUCCACUGCAGCCACAGAGCUGCUGGAGCUGGUCCACUACAGCCACAGGGCUGUUGCCAGAGCUGAUACGCUGCAGCGCAGGGCUGCUGGGCAGCUGCCAUAACAUUUCUGGAGGCCCCAGCGAGAUUCCAACCAUUCUGGCCCCUUGAGCCACCGGAACAGAGGUAAGGCUGCCCCGGAGCUGGAGAACCUCGAACCAAACCAGGCGGCGCGCCACCCGACGGUAUUCCGGGUCCUCCUUCAUGAGCGGCAUUCCUGACUCCCCGGUGACUGAACCCCGACCAGACUCAGUGGAGAGACAGACCAACUCACCAGGAAGGCAUCCGGACAAGGUAAGGCCCCGGGGCCAACCCCAGUCAUGCCCCAGUGGGCAGAAGAGGGGACUGAUCACCCCCUUAGGGAGACUCUCCCAGUCGGAAGCUGUGCCUGACUGGAGCAGUAGUCCUUGUGCUCCAGAUCGGAAGCAGAGGAACCUCUUGCUUGGGUGGAGCAACUGUCAGGUGUAGCUGAUUGAAAGUUGUGCUUGAUCGAGCUACUGAGUGUGUGUGAGGGUGAAUGAGCGGCCUGAUUCGCUUGCGCUUCAGGUUCGAGUUUGUGGCUCCAUAGUCUUAGUAGCUACGGAGUCCGAGUGGGUCCUAACCUGCAGUUCCUUGGUGACCUCAUAUGGCUUAUGGCUGUAGCAGACUCUGAGGGUUCUCUUCCCUCCCUGCAAGUCCAAUUCGAGUUUGGGGCUUAUACGAACCAGCCAAUUGCUAAGAGGCACCUAAACUCCCGAGAGGGCCACCUUCUGAGAAGGGGGCACCCACCCUUGUUUUGUCUGCGACACCAGCACAGGGCGGCCACAUGGGGUGGGACCUAACCCUGAAGCCCAUGAGCCAGAGACCCCUGUGCUCCCACCAUUUGGGCCAUAAAUUCCUCCAAGGAGAUAAUCUAACUUGACUUUGCCCCUGAGGCUCCAGGAACUCCCAUCCUAGAUUCUAAACCACGCGACUGCCCAAUCUGUCAGUUCACAUAGGCCCAGGAUCUGAGUCAGGGAGACAAGACUGUCAUCCCUGUCUCAGUUCAGGGUAUAGGGAGGAUUGGGUACAAAGCCCCCUGUCCUUUGCCCAAACAUUAGAACUUGUCUGAGAGUGCCUUCCCGAGAUCAGGGGCCUAGAUGGAUCAGAGACACUUGAAACAAAGCAGGUGCUCUCCCCAGCCAUAGAGCGAGCUGAGUGGGAGCUGUCUUGCUUACAGGAACAGUGGAGGCAAUGCUACUGGGGAUACCGCCCACGAGGUCAGAGAAGGUCUCAUAAUAUCAGGCCACAGACAAGAUCCAUAAAAAGACACCAUGGGUUCUCCCAAGUCUAAACCCAUGGUGCUAGACUGUGUGAUCAAAGAUUUCAAAAAGGGAUUUUUCAGAAGAUUAUUGUGUAAAACUAACCUGAUCUUUCAUCAUUUCCUUUGCUACUACCUCAAAUAGAGCUGUGGGGGCAAAGGAAACAGACCUCUAGAUGUUAAGACCACCCUGAGUU